This 408-nucleotide ribosomal RNA is filed under the name uncultured bacterium. RNAcentral describes it as "partial 16S ribosomal RNA". It matches the Rfam family "Bacterial small subunit ribosomal RNA", at positions 28 to 526 of the family's 1533-position model. The record is from RNAcentral.
GACGAACGCUGGCGGCGUGCCUAAUACAUGCAAGUCGAGCGAAGCGGCGGAUGGGUGAGUAACGCGUGGGUAACCUGCCCUUAAGUCUGGGAUACCAUUUGGUAACAGAUGCUAAUAUUGGAUACUACAGUAUGGUCCUUCGAUGCAUUAGCUAGUUGGUAAGGUAACGGCUUACAAAGGCGAUGAUGCAUAGCCGGGUUGAGAGAGUGAUCGGCCAAAGUGGGACGGAGACACGGCCCAAACUCCUACGGGAGGCAGCAGUAGGGAAUAUUCCACAAUGGACGAAAGUCUGAUGGAGCAACGCCGCGUGAGUGAAGAAGGUUUUCGGGUCGUAAAGCUCUGUUGUUGGUGAGGCGGUAAUCAAACAGAAAGUCACGGCUAACUACGUGCCAGCAGCCGCGGUAAUAC